GAUGAACGCUGGCGGCGUGCCUAAUACAUGCAAGUCGAGCGAACGGACUAGAAGCUUGCUUCUCUGAUGUUAGCGGCGGACGGGUGAGUAACACGUGGAUAACCUACCUAUAAGACUGGGAUAACUUCGGGAAACCGGAGCUAAUACCGGAUGAUAUUUUGAACCGCAUGGUUCAAAAGUGAAAGACGGUCUUGCUGUCACUUAUAGAUGGAUCCGCGCUGCAUUAGCUAGUUGGUAAGGUAACGGCUUACCAAGGCAACGAUGCAUAGCCGACCUGAGAGGGUGAUCGGCCACACUGGAACUGAGACACGGUCCAGACUCCUACGGGAGGCAGAAGUAGGGAAUCUUCCGCAAUGGGCGAAAGCCUGACGGAGCAACGCCGCGUGAGUGAUGAAGGUCUUCGGAUCGUAAAACUCUGUUAUUAGGGAAGAACAUAUGUGUAAGUAACAGUGCACAUAUUGACGGUACCUAAUCAGAAAGCCACGGCUAACUACGUG
Molecule: ribosomal RNA, 497 nt
Filed under: uncultured bacterium
Lineage: Bacteria
Description: partial 16S ribosomal RNA
Rfam family: Bacterial small subunit ribosomal RNA
Source: RNAcentral